AUGCUAAUAAUACUGGCAGCACAUAUACUAAAAUUGGAUCGAUAUAGAGAAGAUCAGCGUGGCCCCUGCAAAAGGAUGACACACAAAUUCAUGAAGCAUUCCAUAUUUUU
This is a small nuclear RNA of Lynx canadensis (Canada lynx), 110 nucleotides long. The record is from Ensembl. NCBI's taxonomy places the organism in Eukaryota, Metazoa, Chordata, Mammalia, Carnivora, Felidae.